Molecule: ribosomal RNA, 253 nt
Filed under: uncultured bacterium
Lineage: Bacteria
Description: partial 16S ribosomal RNA
Rfam family: Bacterial small subunit ribosomal RNA
Source: RNAcentral
GACAGAGGGUGCAAACGUUGCUCGGAAUCAUUGGGCGUAAAGCGCACGUAGGCGGCUUGGCAAGUCGGAUGUGAAAGCCCUCGGCUCAACCAAGGAAGUGCAUCCGAAACUGCUGAGCUUGAGUACUUAAGAGGAUCGCGGAAUUCCCGGUGUAGAGGUGAAAUUCGUAGAUAUCGGGAGGAACACCAGUGGCGAAGGCGGCGAUCUGGGAAGAUACUGACGCUGAGGUGCGAAAGCGUGGGGAGCAAACAGG